This 246-nucleotide ribosomal RNA is filed under the name uncultured bacterium. RNAcentral's name for it is "partial 16S ribosomal RNA". It matches the Rfam family "Bacterial small subunit ribosomal RNA", at positions 57 to 305 of the family's 1533-position model. The record is from RNAcentral.
GCAAGUCGAGCGAGAACGGAGACUUCGGUCACUUAUUAGAGCGGCGCACGGGUGAGUAACACGUGAGUAACCUGCCCUUCAGCCUGGGAUAACGUCUCGAAAGAGGCGCUAAUACCGGAUACGUCUGCUUCCUUAGUGGAAGAGGGGAAAGAUUAUCACUGAAGGAUGGGCUCGCGGUCCAUUAGGUAGUUGGUGGGGUAAAGGCCUACCAAGCCGAAGAUGGAUAGCUGGUCUGAGAGGAUGAUC